CCUACGGGAUGCAGCAGUGGGGGAUAUUGCACAAUGGGGGAAACCCUGAUGCAGCGACGCCGCGUGGGUGAAGAAGCGCCUCGGCGCGUAAAGCCCUGUCAGCAGGGAAGAAAAUGACGGUACCUGAAGAAGAAGCCCCGGCUAACUACGUGCCAGCAGCCGCGGUAAUACGUAGGGGGCAAGCGUUAUCCGGAUUUACUGGGGUUAAAGGGGGCGUAGACGGCGAUGCAAGCCAGGAGUGAAAGCCCGGGGCCCAACCCCGGGACUGCUCUUGGAACUGCGUGGCUAGAGUGCAGGAGGGGCAGGCGGAAUGCCUGGUGUAGCGGUGAAAUGCGUAGAUAUCAGGAGGAACACCGGUGGCGAAGGCGGCCUGCUGGACUGCAACUGACGUUGAGGCCCGAAAGCGUGGGGAGCAAACAGGAUUAGAUACCCGAGUAGUC
This 440-nucleotide ribosomal RNA is filed under the name uncultured bacterium. RNAcentral describes it as "partial 16S ribosomal RNA". It matches the Rfam family "Bacterial small subunit ribosomal RNA", at positions 338 to 795 of the family's 1533-position model. The record is from RNAcentral.